CCUACGGGUGGCAGCAGUAGGGAAUCUUUCACAAUGGGCGAAAGCCUGAUGGAGCAACGCCGCGUGCAGGAUGAAGGCCUUCGGGUUGUAAACUGCUUUUAUCAGCGAGAAAUAUGAUGGUAACUUAUGAAUCAGGAUCGGCUACCUACGUGCCAGCAGCCGCGGUCAUACGUAGGAUCCGAGCAUUAUCCGGAGUGACUGGGUGUAAAGAGUUGCGUAGGUGGCAUAAUAAGUAGCUAGUGAAAUCUGGUGGCUCAACCAUUCAGACUAUUAGCUAAACUGUUAAGCUCGAGAGCGUUAGGGGUAACUGGAAUGUCUAGUGUAGGAGUGAAAUGCGUAGAUAUUAGAAGGAACACCAAUAGCGUAGGCAGGUUACUGGGACGGGUCUGACACUAAGGCACGAAAGCGUAGGGAGCAAACGGGAUUAGAUACCCGAGUAGUC
This 442-nucleotide ribosomal RNA is filed under the name uncultured bacterium. RNAcentral describes it as "partial 16S ribosomal RNA". It matches the Rfam family "Bacterial small subunit ribosomal RNA", at positions 338 to 795 of the family's 1533-position model. The record is from RNAcentral.